GGGGGAAGCCCUGACGCAGCAACGCCGCGUGAGUGAUGAAGGCCUUCGGGUCGUAAAGCUCUGUCAUAGGGGAAGAAACGCAUUCGGGCUAAUAUCGGCGUUGCUUGACGGUACCACCAAAG
This 122-nucleotide ribosomal RNA is filed under the name Geobacter sp. enrichment culture. Its description in RNAcentral is "partial 16S ribosomal RNA". It matches the Rfam family "Bacterial small subunit ribosomal RNA", at positions 373 to 486 of the family's 1533-position model. The record is from RNAcentral. Lineage: Bacteria; Pseudomonadati; Thermodesulfobacteriota; Desulfuromonadia; Geobacterales; Geobacteraceae.